UUAACCUGGAAGAUGCAUCUGAAAUGUUAGGCUUAGAGUAGGGGAGAGGGAAGUAGAAUUUCUGGGGUAGCGGUGAAAAUGNGUAGAGAUUUGAAGGAAUACCGAUGGGGAAGGCAGCUUUCCUGGCAUCCAUAUUGACACUGAGGUUGGAAAGGGGUGGGGUGGCAAAACAGGAUUAGAUACCCUGGUAGUCCACGCCGUAAACGAUGUCUACUAGUCGUUGGGUCCCUUGAGGACUUAGUGACGCAGCUAACGCAAUAAGUAGACCGCCUGGGGAGUACGGCCGCAAGGUUAAAACUCAAAUGAAUUGACGGGGGCCCGCACAAGCGGUGGAGCAUGUGGUUUAAUUUGAUGCAACGCGAAGAACCUUACCUGGUCUUGACAUAUCUAGAAUCCUGCAGAGAUGCGGGAGUGCCUUCGGGAAUUAGAAUACAGGUGCUGCAUGGCUGUGGUCAGCUCGUGUCGUGAGAUGUUGGGUUAAGUCCCGCAACGAGCGCAACCCUUGUCCUUAGUUACCAGCGGGUUAAGCCGGGAACUCUAAGGAUAUUGCCAGUGACAAACUGGAGGAAGGGGGGGAGGAGGUCAAGUCAUCAUGGCCCUUACGCCCAGGGCUACACACGUGUUACAAUGGUAGGUACAGAGGGCAGCUACACAGCGAUGUGAUGGGAAUCUCAAAAAGCCUAUCGUAGUCCAGAUUGGAGUCUGCAACUGGACUCCAUGAAGUGGGAAUCGCUAGUAAUCGGGGAUCAGAAUGCCGCGGGGAAUACGUUCCCGGCCCUGGUACACACCCCCCGUCACCCCCAGGAGUUGCUUUUCAGUUAGAUCAUUGCUCAGUCAGUCGUAACAAGGUAACCCCUAGGAGUUNUUCG
This 869-nucleotide ribosomal RNA is filed under the name bacterium 21F07-MB2-8a. RNAcentral's name for it is "bacterial SSU rRNA". It matches the Rfam family "Bacterial small subunit ribosomal RNA", at positions 609 to 1533 of the family's 1533-position model. The record is from RNAcentral.